AAAAAGACAAACCCUGGGUUUCCGUGUCCAACUUUUGACCGUCCAUCUUAUUUGAAAAAAUUAUGAAAAAAAUUAAAAAGAUAAGUCAUACAUAAAGUAUUAAUCAUGUUUUAUCACAUAACAUCAAUAAAAAUACUGAUUAUAAAAAAAUUUCAUAUAAAACAGACAGUCAAACGUUGGACACGGAAACCCAGGGUUUAUCUUUUU
This 207-nucleotide microRNA precursor is filed under the name Oryza sativa Japonica Group (Japanese rice). Its description in RNAcentral is "MIR812 microRNA precursor family". It matches the Rfam family "MIR812 microRNA precursor family". The record is from Rfam by way of RNAcentral. Lineage: Eukaryota; Viridiplantae; Streptophyta; Magnoliopsida; Poales; Poaceae.